Molecule: long non-coding RNA, 209 nt
Organism: Amphimedon queenslandica
Lineage: Eukaryota; Metazoa; Porifera; Demospongiae; Haplosclerida; Niphatidae
Exons: 3
Source: RefSeq, a predicted model, not a curated record
GUUUAAAACUUCAGUCCUCACCUCUGAUGAUUUCCUGCAGCGUAGCACCUGGUUUUUAAAAGAGGUAUACUUCUCAGUCUCACAUGUCUUCACUCUUUCUCGCGUUAGCGCAAGCAUAACUGCAUUGUCUGUUGAGGUCCCAUCAAAUGCACUUGCUGAAAUAUCUGGCAAAUAUUGUGGGAACAGAAACACAUGCUAACAAACGUUGU